AACGAACGCUGGCGGCAUGCCUAACACAUGCAAGUCGAACGAAGCCUUCGGGCUUAGUGGCGCACGGGUGCGUAACGCGUGGGAAUCUGCCCCUUGCUUCGGAAUAACAGUUAGAAAUGACUGCUAAUACCGGAUGAAGUCUUCGGACCAAAGAUUUAUCGGCAAGGGAUGAGCCCGCGUAGGAUUAGGUAGUUGGUGGGGUAAAGGCCUACCAAGCCGACGAUCCUUAGCUGGUCUGAGAGGAUGAUCAGCCACACUGAGACUGAGACACGGCCCAGACUCCUACGGGAGGCAGCAGUGGGGAAUAUUGGACAAUGGACGCAAGUCUGAUCCAGCAAUGCCGCGUGAGUGAUGAAGGCCUUAGGGUUGUAAAGCUCUUUUACCAGGGAUGAUAAUGACAGUACCUGGAGAAUAAGCUCCGGCUAACUCCGUG
RNAcentral lists this ribosomal RNA (433 nucleotides) under uncultured bacterium. RNAcentral's name for it is "partial 16S ribosomal RNA". It matches the Rfam family "Bacterial small subunit ribosomal RNA", at positions 29 to 507 of the family's 1533-position model. The record is from RNAcentral.